This 59-nucleotide transfer RNA is filed under the name Persea lingue. Its description in RNAcentral is "partial tRNA-Leu". It matches the Rfam family "tRNA", at positions 25 to 71 of the family's 71-position model. From Rfam's summary of the family: Transfer RNA (tRNA) molecules are approximately 80 nucleotides in length. The record is from RNAcentral. Lineage: Eukaryota; Viridiplantae; Streptophyta; Magnoliopsida; Laurales; Lauraceae. RNAcentral also lists the same sequence under 19 other names.
UACGGACUUAAAAUCCGUCGACUUUAGAAAUCGUGAGGGUUCAAGUCCCUCUAUCCCCA